This 433-nucleotide ribosomal RNA is filed under the name uncultured bacterium. RNAcentral describes it as "partial 16S ribosomal RNA". It matches the Rfam family "Bacterial small subunit ribosomal RNA", at positions 29 to 507 of the family's 1533-position model. The record is from RNAcentral.
AACGAACGCUGGCGGCAGGCUUAACACAUGCAAGUCGAGCGAGACCUUCGGGUCUAGCGGCGGACGGGUGAGUAACGCGUGGGAACGUGCCCUUCUCUACGGAAUAGCCCCGGGAAACUGGGAGUAAUACCGUAUACGCCCUUUGGGGGAAAGAUUUAUCGGAGAAGGAUCGGCCCGCGUUGGGUUAGGUAGUUGGUGGGGUAAUGGCCCACCAAGCCGACGAUCCAUAGCUGGUUUGAGAGGAUGAUCAGCCACACUGGGACUGAGACACGGCCCAGACUCCUACGGGAGGCAGCAGUGGGGAAUCUUAGACAAUGGGGGCAACCCUGAUCUAGCCAUGCCGCGUGAGUGAUGAAGGCCUUAGGGUUGUAAAGCUCUUUCAGCUGGGAAGAUAAUGACGGUACCAGCAGAAGAAGCCCCGGCUAACUCCGUG